CAUUUUGUCGAAAGGGUUAUUCUUUAUAGCUUGCUAUGGGGACAAUUAGUGGCAGACGGGUGAGUAAUGCAUAGGAAUCUACCUAGUAGUAUAGGAUAGCCACUAGAAGUGGUGGGUAAUACUGUAUAAUCCCUGCGGGGGAAAGAUUUAUCGCUACAUGAUGAGCCUAUGUUAGAUUAGCUAGUUGGUGGGGUAAUGGCCUACCAAGGCAGUGAUCUAUAGCUGGUCUGAGAGGAUGAUCAGCCACACUGGAACUGAGACACGGUCCAGACUCCUACGGGAGGCAGCAGUGGGGAAUAUUGGACAAUGGGCGCAAGCCUGAUCCAGCUAUGCCGCGUGAGUGAGGAAGGCCUUAGGGUUGUAAAACUCUUUCAGUAGGGAAGAUAAUGACGGUUACCUAUAAAA
RNAcentral lists this ribosomal RNA (405 nucleotides) under uncultured Anaplasma sp. RNAcentral describes it as "bacterial SSU rRNA". It matches the Rfam family "Bacterial small subunit ribosomal RNA", at positions 58 to 486 of the family's 1533-position model. The record is from RNAcentral. Lineage: Bacteria; Pseudomonadati; Pseudomonadota; Alphaproteobacteria; Rickettsiales; Anaplasmataceae.